AUGCAGUCUCCUGAGUGCACAGAAGUCCUAUGUGCACCACUCUCAAUAUCUCCUCUUUUAUGCUCCCACCUCCCUCCUUCUCAUCAACCAUCAGAAGAAGAGCUACUUACAAUGAGUACUAUGCUUUCCAAGUAGUCCGAGGUUUCGCUCCUACUGUUUUGUAUCCCAGUGAUGGUCUCCAGCAAAACCACCCCAAAACUGUAGACAUCAGCCUUUUCUGUUAGCUGGCCAUGAGCCAAGUACUCUGGCGCCAUAUACCCCCUGUGGAUUCACGAACGGUAGAAGCAACAACAAAUGUUAAAUCACUUUUGUUUUGUGUUGUUUAAUUUGAUACUUAUUCCUUGUUAUUCAAGAGAAAUUACGUACAAGGUUCCGGCAAUGGCAGUGCUGAUGUGGCUCACAUCUUCUUCAAAGGAUCUAGCCAAUCCAAAAUCAGCAAUUUUAGCUCGGAACUUUGAGUCAAGCAAGAUGUUACUAGCCUUGAUGUCUCGGUGAAUGAUCUUGGUUUUCGAGUUCUCGUGCAGCGUUUACCAAAAAUGAAGCGGUCGAGGCUCUUGUUGGGAAGGAAUUCAUAGACGAGCAGACUUUCAGUCUGCUGCUCUAUGUUUGUUAUUGAAGAAAAGCCUCUUCACAGCUAUCUCUCUUCCGUCCGACAGAACUCCCUGCAUCAACAUAGACAGAAGAGGAAGGAAGGGAUGGUGAGAUCUCAGUGUUUGAGCUUAUUAAGCUAAUUGCAUGUUUGAAGGUAACAAUAAGAAGACUGGCCUUAUAAACAGUGCCAAAUCCUCCUUGUCCAAGCAUGUUAGCCUCAGCAAAACAUUCUGUUGACUUUUCAAGGGUAGAGUACUUGAAAUUCAAGCUGCUAUUGUUGAGUGUUUUCACCAUCUUGUUUGCAUCAUUUGAACCUUUCAAUACAUAUGGCAAUCAAGUGAACAUCAAGUAGAAAAGAAGAACUUAUUUUCAACAAGUACAAAAGCGCUGUUUUAAAUAUACCUUUUCGUUUCAUCUUUACAUAUCUGUUAUUCCAGAUGUAGAUUCCAAUCACCACACCAGCGACCAAAACAGCAAUCGAGCUUACCACUGAGAUUACAAUUGCUAUAAUGUUACCUGCAGAGAUCGUCCAUAGUAAAUUCAAGCAAGAAGCUAGUAGUGGUGGCGUAUAAUACAACACCAAUUUUCAUUCAUACCUCUGAACCUUGCAGCUCGAGCUUCCCUAUUUAGGAAGUCAACGCUAGAGUAUCUGAUGAAGCAGCCAGUGUUGAGGGCCCUUGCUUCGGAGUGAGGCAAGCAU
This is a long non-coding RNA of Cucurbita moschata (crookneck pumpkin), 1291 nucleotides long. RefSeq lists it as uncharacterized. The transcript has 4 exons. The record is from RefSeq and is a predicted model, not a curated record. Lineage: Eukaryota; Viridiplantae; Streptophyta; Magnoliopsida; Cucurbitales; Cucurbitaceae.